UUACGGCCAUAUCACAUUGAAAUACACGUUCUCGUAAGAUCACUGAAGUUAAACAACAUCGAACCUGGUCAAUACCCAGAUGGGUGACCGCUUGGAAAUACCAGGUGCUGUAA
Molecule: non-coding RNA, 113 nt
Organism: Acanthosepion pharaonis
Lineage: Eukaryota; Metazoa; Mollusca; Cephalopoda; Sepiida; Sepiidae
Source: the annotation of a GenBank genome assembly